RNAcentral lists this ribosomal RNA (447 nucleotides) under uncultured soil bacterium. RNAcentral's name for it is "bacterial SSU rRNA". It matches the Rfam family "Bacterial small subunit ribosomal RNA", at positions 26 to 522 of the family's 1533-position model. The record is from RNAcentral.
AGAACGAACGCUGGCGGCAUGCCUAAUACAUGCAAGUCGAACGAACACUUCGGUGUUAGUGGCGCACGGGUGCGUAACGCGUGGGAAUCUGCCCUUGGGUUCGGAAUAACAGUUGGAAACGACUGCUAAUACCGGAUGAUGACGAAAGUCCAAAGAUUUAUCGCCCAGGGAUGAGCCCGCGUAGGAUUAGCUAGUUGGUGAGGUAAAGGCUCACCAAGGCGACGAUCCUUAGCUGGUCUGAGAGGAUGAUCAGCCACACUGGGACUGAGACACGGCCCAGACUCCUACGGGAGGCAGCAGUAGGGAAUAUUGGACAAUGGGCGCAAGCCUGAUCCAGCAAUGCCGCGUGAGUGAUGAAGGCCUUAGGGUUGUAAAGCUCUUUACCCGAGAUGAUAAUGACAGUAUCGGAGAAUAAGCCCCGGACUAACUCCGCGCCAGCACGCCGAC